GCCAGGGAAUUACGAGCACAAGCUUAAAACCCAAAGGAUUUGACGGNGUCCCACCCACCUAGAGGAGCCUGUUCUAUAAUCGAUGAUCCUCGAUAUACCUCACCAUUUUUUGCUUUUUCAGCCUGUAUACCUCCGUCGMAAGCUUACCAUUNGAAUGCCUCAAAGUAAGGUCAAUUAGGGCUCUACACGCCAACACGUCAGGUCAAGGUGCAGCCAAUAAAAUGGGAAGCAAUGGGCUACAAUUUCUAAUAUAGAACAAACGAAAAACUACAUGAAACAUAGUCAUGAAGGCGGAUUUAGUAGUAAAAGAAGAAUAGCGAGCUUCUUUAAACAAGGCCCUGGGACGUGUACACACCGCCCGUCAC
This 365-nucleotide ribosomal RNA is filed under the name Mantidactylus ulcerosus. RNAcentral describes it as "partial 12S ribosomal RNA". It matches the Rfam family "Bacterial small subunit ribosomal RNA", at positions 871 to 1400 of the family's 1533-position model. The record is from RNAcentral. Lineage: Eukaryota; Metazoa; Chordata; Amphibia; Anura; Mantellidae.